GACGAACGCUGGCGGCGUGCCUAAUACAUGCAAGUCGAACGAACUCUGGUAUUGAUUGGUGCUUGCAUCAUGAUUUAAAUUUGAGUGAGUGGCGAACUGGUGAGUAACACGUGGGAAACCUGCCCAGAAGCGGGGGAUAACACCUGGAAACAGAUGCUAAUACCGCAUAACAACUUGGACCGCAUGGUCCGAGUUUGAAAGAUGGCUUCGGCUAUCACUUUUGGAUGGUCCCGCGGCGUAUUAGCUAGAUGGUGGGGUAACGGCUCACCAUGGCAAUGAUACGUAGCCGACCUGAGAGGGUAAUCGGCCACAUUGGGACUGAGACACGGCCCAAACUCCUACGGGAGGCAGCAGUAGGGAAUCUUCCACAAUGGACGAAAGUCUGAUGGAGCAACGCCGCGUGAGUGAAGAAGGGUUUCGGCUCGUAAAACUCUGUUGUUAAAGAAGAACAUAUCUGAGAGUAACUGUUCAGGUAUUGACGGUAUUUAACCAGAAAGCCACGGCUAACUACGUGCCAGCAGCCGCGGUAAUACGUAGGUGGCAAGCGUUGUCCGGAUUUAUUGGGCGUAAAGCGAGCGCAGGCGGUUUUUUAAGUCUGAUGUGAAAGCCUUCGGCUCAACCGAAGAAGUGCAUCGGAAACUGGGAAACUUGAGUGCAGAAGAGGACAGUGGAACUCCAUGUGUAGCGGUGAAAUGCGUAGAUAUAUGGAAGAACACCAGUGGCGAAGGCGGCUGUCUGGUCUGUAACUGACGCUGAGGCUCGAAAGUAUGGGUAGCAAACAGGAUUAGAUACCCUGGUAGUCCAUACCGUAAACGAUGAAUGCUAAGUGUUGGAGGGUUUCCGCCCUUCAGUGCUGCAGCUAACGCAUUAAGCAUUCCGCCUGGGGAGUACGGCCGCAAGGCUGAAACUCAAAGGAAUUGACGGGGGCCCGCACAAGCGGUGGAGCAUGUGGUUUAAUUCGAAGCUACGCGAAGAACCUUACCAGGUCUUGACAUACUAUGCAAAUCUAAGAGAUUAGACGUUCCCUUCGGGGACAUGGAUACAGGUGGUGCAUGGUUGUCGUCAGCUCGUGUCGUGAGAUGUUGGGUUAAGUCCCGCAACGAGCGCAACCCUUAUUAUCAGUUGCCAGCAUUAAGUUGGGCACUCUGGUGAGACUGCCGGUGACAAACCGGAGGAAGGUGGGGAUGACGUCAAAUCAUCAUGCCCCUUAUGACCUGGGCUACACACGUGCUACAAUGGAUGGUACAACGAGUUGCGAACUCGCGAGAGUAAGCUAAUCUCUUAAAGCCAUUCUCAGUUCGGAUUGUAGGCUGCAACUCGCCUACAUGAAGUCGGAAUCGCUAGUAAUCGCGGAUCAGCAUGCCGCGGUGAAUACGUUCCCGGGCCUUGUACACACCGCCCGUCACACCAUGAGAGUUUGUAACACCCAAAGUCGGUGGGGUAACCUUUUAGGAACCAGCCGCCUAAGGUGGGACAGAUGAUUAGGGUGAAGUCGUAACAAGGUAGCCGUAGAAUCGUCGACCUGCA
Molecule: ribosomal RNA, 1527 nt
Filed under: Lactiplantibacillus pentosus
Lineage: Bacteria; Bacillati; Bacillota; Bacilli; Lactobacillales; Lactobacillaceae
Description: bacterial SSU rRNA
Rfam family: Bacterial small subunit ribosomal RNA
Source: RNAcentral